GUUAAUCCACUUAAUUGAGAUUAAAGAAAUAAAUCAAAAUUUUGCUUCAUUGUUCAUUGUAUAUUUUGUAUAUUACUUGUUAACAAAAGAGUUCAAACUGACUUGAUAUUAAUUAUUUUUAAGCUGAAAAAUAAAAGAUCAUGUAAAGACUGUUUUACAAUAUAAAGGCAUAGAAUCUCAUGUGGCAUUCCUUGGGUAUCCAGCUCAAUAUACUCGGUUGCUAUAGAAACCAUUUCUAAGGAGACAGAAGAAAGAAGUGUGGGUGUUUCUAUUGCUGGCUGUGUGUCUGAAAGAAAUGAAGAGUAAACAAAUAGUAGUACUUCUCUUUAACACAGAACGUUCAUCAUUGCUGCAAGGAGUGACAGAAGCACUGGCAUCAAGAGAAGAGACGAAAAAACACUAGAGUAAAUAAAAAUUUAUCCAAAGUC
Long non-coding RNA from Leopardus geoffroyi (Geoffroy's cat), 428 nucleotides. RefSeq lists it as uncharacterized. The record is from RefSeq and is a predicted model, not a curated record. The transcript is spliced from 2 exons. NCBI's taxonomy places the organism in Eukaryota, Metazoa, Chordata, Mammalia, Carnivora, Felidae.